Molecule: ribosomal RNA, 3291 nt
Filed under: Durio zibethinus
Lineage: Eukaryota; Viridiplantae; Streptophyta; Magnoliopsida; Malvales; Malvaceae
Description: eukaryotic LSU rRNA
Rfam family: Eukaryotic large subunit ribosomal RNA
Source: RNAcentral
CCUCAGGUUAAGUGAGAUUACCCAUUGAGUUUAAGCAUAUCAAUAAGUGGAGGGGAAGAAACUUACCAAGAUUCCCCUAGUAACGGCAAGUGAAUCGAAAAGAGUCUAGCUUAAGAAUUAGGUGCCCUCAGCAUUUGAAUUGUAGUCUAGAGAAGCAUCUUCAGCAAUGGACCAAGCUUAAGUUCCUUGGAAAAGGGCAUCAGAGACGAUGAGAGCCCUAUUGUGCUUGGACCCUAUCAUAACAUGAAGCACUAUCUGUGAGUCGGGUUGUUUAGGAAUGCAACCCCAAUCAGGCUAUAAAUUUUAUCCAAGGUGAGAAUUUGAUAGCAAACAAAUGCUGUAAUGGAAAAAUGGAAAGGACUUUCAAAUAAGAGUGAAAGAGUACUUGAAAUUAUUAGAAAGGAAGCAGAUGGGGGCCUGCGAUAUGACCUGAUUGGAUGUGGAAAGGCAAGAGCUAGUUUACUGAUCAACUUGGUGCAUGGACUGACACGGGUCAUGAUGGUAGCCCAAGCUUGGGAGCAAAGAUGUUGUAGCUACAAUCAUGGAAUGUAACACGUGCUAUCUCGGCAUGCCUCUUACACUAGUAUGCUUUUGGCAUCUGCCUAUGUGCUCCCCAUCCAUCUAGUCUUAAAACAUAGACCUAAGAGUCUGACAUGUGUGCAAGUCAAUAGGUUAGAAAACCCAUAAGGUGCAAGGAAGCUAAUUGGUAGGAUCCCUCAUGGGUGCACCACUAACCAACCUUGAUCUUCUAAAUGCCUGUCGAGACCUGAAAGAUGGUGAACUGUGCCUGAGUGGGGAAAAACCAGAGGAAACUCUAGUGGAGUCCCAUAGUGAUAUGACAUACAAAUCGUUCAUUUGACUUGGGUAUAAGGGUAAAAGACUAAUCAAACCAUCUAGUAGUUGGUUCCCUCUGAAGUUUCCCUUAUGGUAGCUAGAGCCCAUAGUGAGUUCUAUCAGGUAAAGCCAAUGAUUAGAGGCAUCAAAGGUGCAAUGCCCUUGACCUAUUCUUAAACUUUAAAUAGGUAGGAUGGCAUAUCUACUUCAUUAAGCCAUGUCAUGGAAUCGAGAGCUCCAAGUGGACCAUUUUUGGUAAACAAAACUAGCAAUGCAGGAUGACCUAAAAGCUAGGUUCUGGUUCCUAAUUGUGCACUAACCUAGAACCCAUAAAUGGUGUUGGUCAAUUAAGAUAGCGAGAUGGUGGUCAUGGAAGUCAAAAUCCACUCAGGAGUGCAUAACAACUCACUUACCAAAUCAACUAGCCCUGAAAGUGGAUGGCACUUAAGCGCGUGACCUAUACUAGGCAGUCGGGGGCAAAGACCAGGCCUUGAUAAGUAAAUAGGCAUGACGGCCACCACAAAACCCAAGAUGUGAGCUUGAGUAGAGCAACCAUUAGUGCAAAUCUUGGUGGUAGUAGCAAAUAUUCAAAUGAAAACUUUCAAGGCCAAAUAAGGGAAAGGUUCCAUAUGAACAGCCUUUGCACAUGGGUUAGUCAAUCCUACGAGAUAGGGGAAGCCUAUUUGAUAGUGCAUCCAAUGUGAGCUUCGAAAGGGAAUUGGGUUAAAAUCCCUAAACUAGGAUGCAGUGGUUGAUAACAAUGUUAGAGAGUUCAAAGACAUUGACGGAGACCUCAAGAAGAGUUAUAUUUUAUGUUUAAUAGCCUACCCAACCUGGAAAUGACUCGACCAGAGGUAGGGUCUAGCAGUUGAAAGAGAAUUACAUGCCACAUAGUGUUUGGUACACCACUAGCGGCUUUUGAAAAUCCAAAGGAUUGAGUGCCAUCUGCACUCAAUUGUAUUUAUAACCACAUCAAGUCUUCAAGGUGAAUAGCCUCUGGUCGUGGAAAAAUGUAGGCAAGGGAAGUUAGCAAAAUGAAUUCAUGACCUUAAGAAAAAUUUGGCUUUUAGGGCUGGGCAUAGGAGUUCAAGUCCUAAACCUAUCGACUAUCGAUGCACUGCUUAAGCUACUCCUAUAAAGAGAGUAGGCCACUGUAUACCAGUUAAGGGAUAGACUAAGAAUGGCUCCCUUGAGGGCCUACCUUGGGUGACCAGCAGUCAACUUAGAACUGGUACGAACAAGGGGAAUCCAAUCAUUUAAUUAAAACAAUGCCUUGCAAUGGUCUUUACAGAUGCUCACAUAAUGUGAUUUCUACCCAGUGCUCUAAAUGUCAAAAUGAAAAAAUUCAAUCAAGCGCGAGUAAAUAGCAGGUGUAACUAUGACUCUCUUAACAUAGCCAAAUGCCUCAUCAUCCAAUUAGUGAUGCACAUGAAUAGAUUAAUGAGAUUCCCACUGUCCCUAUCUACUACCUAGUGAAACCACUACCAAGGGAAUAAGCUAGGUAGAAUCAGCAGGGAAAUAAGACCCUAUUGAGCAUGACUCUAGUCUGACUUUGUGAAAUGACUUUAGAGGUGUUGGAUAAAGGGGAGUCCUUGGGCAAAAUUAAAAUACCUCUACUUUUAAAGUUAUUUUACUUAUUCGAUGAAUCAGAGGUAGGCUAUAACCCCUUUUCUUAGACCCAAGGCAAACUUUCAUCAGUUGAUCAAGGUAAAAGACAUUGUCAAUGGGAAGUUUGGCUAAGAUGGCAUAUCUAUUAAAAAAUAACAUUGGUGUCCUAGCAUGAGCUCAAUGAAAACAUAAAUCUUGUAUGGAACAAAAGGGUAAAAGCUCAUUUGAUUUUGAUUUCUAAUACAAAUACAAACUAUGAAAGCAUGGCCUGUCAAUCCUUUAAACCUUCAAAUUUUGAAGCUAGAGGUGUUAGAAAAGUUACCAUAUGGAUACCUGGCUUACGAUAGCCAAGCGUUCAUCAUAGCAUUAGGUUUUGUUCCUUCGAUGUCGGAUCAUCCUAUGAUUAUAAAGCAAAAUUCACUAAGAGUUGGAUUGUUCACUCACUAAUAAGGAAUGUGAGCUAGGUUUAGACCAUCAUGAGAUAGGUUAGUUUUACCCUAUUGAUGGCAAUGUUGCAAUAGUAAUUCAACCUAGUACGAGAGGAACUGUUGAUUCACACAAUUUGUCAUUAUGCUUGGUUGAAAAGUCAAUGGCAUAAAGCUACUAUGAGUUAGAUUAGGACUAAAUGCCUCUAAGUUAAAAUAUGGGAUAGAAGCAAUGCACAUCCCUACCACCCGAUUGCUAACCCCCAAUAGAGGCCUACAACCCCUAAGGGCACGUGUCGUCGAUGCAGCCCUAGCGGUGGACAAGCCACACGAGCGUCUUUAGAACUCAAUUCCCAUCAAGUGGUGGGAAGAAUCUUUUGCAGAUGACUUAAAUAUGCGAUGGGGUAUUGUACAUGCCUUAACC